GUGCCAGCCGCCGCGGUAAAACGUAGGAGGCGAGCGUUAUCCGGAUUUACUGGGCGUAAAGCGUGUGUAGGCGGUACGGCAAGUUGGAUGUGAAAGCUCCUGGCUUAACUAGGAGAGGUCGUUCAAUACUACCGAACUUGAGGGCAUCAGAGGAAGGUGGAAUUCCCGGUGUAGUGGUGAAAUGCGUAGAUAUCGGGAGGAACACCAGUGGCGAAAGCGGCCUUCUGGGAUGAUCCUGACGCUCAGACACGAAAGCUAGGGUAGCGAACGGGAUUAGAGACCCCGGUAGUCCUAGCAGUAAACGAUGUAGACUUGGUGUCGGAGGUGUCAAAACCUUCGGUAUCGUAGCUAACGCGAUAAGUCUACCGCCUGGGGACUACGGCCGCAAGGUUAAA
RNAcentral lists this ribosomal RNA (395 nucleotides) under uncultured bacterium. Its description in RNAcentral is "bacterial SSU rRNA". It matches the Rfam family "Bacterial small subunit ribosomal RNA", at positions 505 to 898 of the family's 1533-position model. The record is from RNAcentral.